Molecule: transfer RNA, 89 nt
Filed under: Cyclonatronum proteinivorum
Lineage: Bacteria; Pseudomonadati; Balneolota; Balneolia; Balneolales; Cyclonatronaceae
Also listed under: 1 other name
Rfam family: tRNA
About the family: Transfer RNA (tRNA) molecules are approximately 80 nucleotides in length. Their secondary structure includes four short double-helical elements and three loops (D, anti-codon, and T loops).
Source: Rfam by way of RNAcentral
GGAGAGAUGGCUGAGUGGUUGAAAGCGGCACCCUGCUAAGGUGUUAUACCCCCUCCGGGGUAUCGAGGGUUCGAAUCCCUCUCUCUCCG